Molecule: ribosomal RNA, 433 nt
Filed under: uncultured bacterium
Lineage: Bacteria
Description: partial 16S ribosomal RNA
Rfam family: Bacterial small subunit ribosomal RNA
Source: RNAcentral
AACGAACGCUGGCGGCAUGCCUAACACAUGCAAGUCGAACGGGACCGUCGGGUCUGGGGGCGCACGGGUGCGUAACGCGUGGGAACCUGCCCUUAAGUUCGGCAUAACUCCCCGAUAGGGGUGCUAAUACCGGUCAAUGUCUGCGGACCAACGAUUUAUCGCCUUUGGAUGGGCCCGCGUUGGUUUAGCUAGUUGGUAGGGUAAAAGCCUACCAAGGCGACGUUCCGUGGCUGGUCUGAGAGGAUGACCAGCCACACUGGGACUGAGACACGGCCCAGACUCCUACGGGAGGAAGCGGUGGGGAAUAUUCGACAAGGGGCGAAGGCCUGAUCCAGCAAGGCCGCGUGAGUGAGGAAGGCCUUAGGGUGGUAAAGCCCUUCUACCCGGGAGGAUAUUGACAGUACCGGGAGAAUAAGCACCGGCUAACUCCGUG